UGUGAGAAUUUUCCUUUUUACUGCCAAAGA
Molecule: non-coding RNA, 30 nt
Filed under: Rattus norvegicus (Norway rat)
Lineage: Eukaryota; Metazoa; Chordata; Mammalia; Rodentia; Muridae
Source: RNAcentral